ACUUUGGAUACUCGACUUUCAUCCUUGCUUCCGUUUCCCAAGUGAUGAGGUCUUUACCAUUGUAAUCCCACACCACUUUAAUCAUGGGAACCGUCUUCUUUCUCAUUGCCUUCUCUGACCGAUCUACGAUACGAACCAGCCUUGUUUCUAAGGUUAGGUUCUUACCCAAAUCAGCCUCAGGCAAAACAAUGUCUUGAUCCGUCAAGCACUUCCGGAGUUGGAAUACAUGGAAUACAUUAUGAUAUGCAUCCAUUGCCGAUGGCAAGUUCAACUUGUAUGCCACUGCACCCACCCUCUCUAUGAUCCUAAACGGACCUAAGUAUCUAGGAUC
This 331-nucleotide long non-coding RNA is filed under the name Brassica napus (rape). Its description in RNAcentral is "long non-coding RNA (BNAP_LNC014202)". The record is from RNAcentral. Lineage: Eukaryota; Viridiplantae; Streptophyta; Magnoliopsida; Brassicales; Brassicaceae.